RNAcentral lists this ribosomal RNA (439 nucleotides) under uncultured bacterium. RNAcentral's name for it is "partial 16S ribosomal RNA". It matches the Rfam family "Bacterial small subunit ribosomal RNA", at positions 338 to 795 of the family's 1533-position model. The record is from RNAcentral.
CCUACGGGAGGCAGCAGUAAGGGAUAUUGGUCAAUGGGGGAAACCCUGAACCAGCAACGCCGCGUGAGGGAAGACGGUUUUCGGAUUGUAAACCUCUGUCCUCUGUGAAGAUGAUGACGGUAGCAGAGGAGGAAGCUCCGGCUAACUACGUGCCAGCAGCCGCGGUAAUACGUAGGGAGCGAGCGUUGUCCGGAUUUACUGGGUGUAAAGGGUGCGUAGGCGGCUUGGCAAGUCAGUAGUGAAAUCCAUGGGAUUAACCCAUGAACUGCUAUUGAAACUGUCGAGCUUGAGUGAAGUAGGGGUAGGCGGACUUCCCGGUGAGGCGGUGAAAUGCGUAGGAGUCGGGGGGAAAACCGGGGGCAAGGGCGGCCUACUGGCUUUAACUGACGCUGAGGCACGAAAGCGUGGGUAGCAAACAGGAUUAGAUACCCGUGUAGUC